Molecule: microRNA precursor, 63 nt
Filed under: Pelobates cultripes (western spadefoot toad)
Lineage: Eukaryota; Metazoa; Chordata; Amphibia; Anura; Pelobatidae
Source: RNAcentral
AGUAUAAGGUGGAGUAUCUUACAUACGCUUUUCAAAUGUAUGUAAGAUACUCCACCUUAUACU